RNAcentral lists this ribosomal RNA (465 nucleotides) under Vreelandella stevensii. Its description in RNAcentral is "partial 16S ribosomal RNA". It matches the Rfam family "Bacterial small subunit ribosomal RNA", at positions 338 to 795 of the family's 1533-position model. The record is from RNAcentral. Lineage: Bacteria; Pseudomonadati; Pseudomonadota; Gammaproteobacteria; Oceanospirillales; Halomonadaceae.
CCUACGGGGUCGCUGCAGUGGGGAAUAUUGGACAAUGGGCGAAAGCCUGAUCCAGCCAUGCCGCGUGUGUGAAGAAGGCCUUCGGGUUGUAAAGCACUUUCAGUGGGGAAGAAAGCCUUGGGGCUAAUACCUCGAGGAAGGACAUCACCCACAGAAGAAGCACCGGCUAACUCUGUGCCAGCAGCCGCGGUAAUACGGAGGGUGCGAGCGUUAAUCGGAAUUACUGGGCGUAAAGCGCGCGUAGGCGGUCUGAUAAGCCGGUUGUGAAAGCCCCGGGCUCAACCUGGGAACGGCAUCCGGAACUGUCAGGCUAGAGUGCAGGAGAGGAAGGUAGAAUUCCCGGUGUAGCGGUGAAAUGCGUAGAGAUCGGGAGGAAUACCAGUGGCGAAGGCGGCCUUCUGGACUGACACUGACGCUGAGGUGCGAAAGCGUGGGUAGCAAACAGGAUUAGAUACCCCAGUAGUC